AUAACGACUCUCGGCAACGGAUAUCUCGGCUCUCGCAUCGAUGAAGAACGUAGCGAAAUGCGAUACUUGGUGUGAAUUGCAGAAUCCCGUGAACCAUCGAGUCUUUGAACGCAAGUUGCGCCCGAAGCCAUCNGGCUGAGGGCACGUCUGCCUGGGCGUCACGC
RNAcentral lists this ribosomal RNA (164 nucleotides) under Streptocarpus montigena. RNAcentral's name for it is "5.8S ribosomal RNA". It matches the Rfam family "5.8S ribosomal RNA". From Rfam's summary of the family: 5.8S ribosomal RNA (5.8S rRNA) is a component of the large subunit of the eukaryotic ribosome. It is transcribed by RNA polymerase I as part of the 45S precursor that also contains 18S and 28S rRNA. Functionally, it is thought that 5.8S rRNA may be involved in ribosome translocation. The record is from RNAcentral. Lineage: Eukaryota; Viridiplantae; Streptophyta; Magnoliopsida; Lamiales; Gesneriaceae.